RNAcentral lists this ribosomal RNA (408 nucleotides) under uncultured bacterium. RNAcentral describes it as "partial 16S ribosomal RNA". It matches the Rfam family "Bacterial small subunit ribosomal RNA", at positions 28 to 526 of the family's 1533-position model. The record is from RNAcentral.
GACGAACGCUGGCGGCGUGCUUAACACAUGCAAGUCGAACGAAGUGGCGAACGGGUGCGUAACGCGUAAUCAACCUGCCCUUCAGAGGGGGGCAACAGUGGGAAAAGACUGCUAAUACCGCAUACUGAGGGAGGGGAGUGCGUCGGAUUAGCUGGUGGGAGGGGUAACGGCCCACCAAGGCGAUGAUCAGGAGCCGGGCUGAGAGGAUGAACGGCCACAUUGGGACUGAGACACGGCCCAGACUCCGACGGGAGGCAGCAGUGGGGAAUCUUCCGCAAUGGACGAAAGUCUGACGGAGCAACGCCGCGUGAGUGAUGACGGCCUUCGGGUUGUAAAGCUCUGUUAAUCGGGACGCGGUACCGGAAUAGAAAGCCACGGCUAACUACGUGCCAGCAGCCGCGGUAAUAC